CUGGCGAGGUCAUUGACACUUAUGGUGUAGGAAGAGUGUUGGUUUCUCAUCGGCCCGACUUCAAGAAAGGUGACUUGGUAGUUGGGCUACUUACCUGGGGAGAGUACACUGUUGUAAAGGAAGGUUCCCUGUUGAAUAAGCUGGAUCCUAGUCUGGCAUUUCCUUUGUCUUACCAUGUCGGAGUUUUUGGAUUCAGUGGACUUGCUGCCUAUGGUGGAUUCUUCGAAGUGUGUAAGCCGAAGCCAGGGGAGAAAGUUUUCGUGUCUGCUGCUUCUGGUUCAAUAGGACGUUUAGUAGGACAGUAUGCUAAAUUACUUGGAUGUUAUGUUGUUGGCUCUGCUGGUAGCCAAGAAAAGGUAAAUUUUCUUAAGGAGAAACUUGGAUUCAACCAUGCAUUCAAUUAAACAAGAAACUGACCUCAAAUCGGCUCUCAAAAGGUGUUUCACUCAAGGGAUCGAUGUCUACUUUGACAAUGUGGGAGGCAAGAUGUUAGAAGCAGCAGUGGCAAACAUGAAUUCACUCGGCAGAGUAGCCCUCUGUGGGGUUAUUUCUGAGCACGCGAAUGCUAGCACACAAGCUGGCCAGAUGUGAAGGAUAUAGUCUACAAGAGGAUUAGAAUCCAAGGAUUCCUAGCAGCUGAUUUCAUGCCAGUGUAUGCAGAUUUCCUGUCGAAAACAGUUGAGUACCUCCAAGAUGGAAAACUUAAGACCAUCGAAGAUAUCUCACAAGGCGUUGAAAGCAUCCCCUCUGCUUUUAUUGGACUGUUCAAUGGUGAUAAUAUAGGCAAAAAGAUUGUCAAAGUUGCAGAUGAGUGAAAAAAAGAGCAAGAAGAUUCAAGACUGUUGACCUAUUUGUUCAUGAAUUCACAAAAAAUAUCUUAUCUGUACUUCUUUCAAGUUGUAAUCCAUUUAAAUGUUCAUCUUCUGCAUCAAGUUAAAGUAAUGUUUAUGCAUUAUGCCUAUCAGAUUCUUGUGUAGUUUUCCUUUUCAUGUAUCCUAGAUUGAAACAAACUCUGUGACCCUAAGCUGUCUCAAUUCCAAAUUUAGUUGACUACAUGAAUCUUUUAUAUCAACUCAACACAGUGGAAAAAUACAUCUUUAGCAACUACUUCAAGACCACCACAAGAUAAAGCAAUAUCAAGGUCCCCAUCAACAUAGAGACCAGCUAUCAUGCCAAAUGAAUCCCGGCACUGAAAUAGCAGCAAAGUAAAGUGACAAUGGGUGUACAUAAGUUAGUUUCAAUAGAAUAACACGAUAGAAAACACUAAUGUACAAAUAUCACAGUAGAAACAAAGUUUGAGAGCAAUGGAUCACGAAGGGGAUAAACGUAUUUCCAAGUGUUACAGUAACAGCAUUAAUAUUGAACCUGCAGUCUUCCUUCCAUUCAAACAGACUGUCAACAGCCUCUGCCAAUGCAGAAUGAACAACUAGAUUCUUGUGUUUUCAAGAAAUUAUGGUCCUACAAUUGCAGCCACAGGAAGACACACAUACUAGUGAAUGCUUCAGCGUAAAGCUAUUCAUCAUUGAGGGGAAACGGUUAAAAGACACCAGAAAGAUGCAUAACCGCAGUUCCCCUGGAGAGCAAAGAACGUGCAAAAACUUGCACUCAUGACUUAUCAACUAGCAGCACUUUUCUUUCUGAAGAACUAGUUGCAAUAUCAAGGAAAAAGAAUUCCAUGAUGUGGAACCAUUAUCAUCAUAAGUAUCAUAUAACAGAUCAAUCUACAUAUAACCAUUUAUUUAAGGGAAGGAGAAGCUUGUUCAACAUUUUGUUAUGAUGAAUUUGACUUUAAGCUACCAACAAUGUGAGAUGAAAUUUAGAAGUAGGCGAGUCUCGCUCUAUACAUGCUGUUGGAGUUGUAAGGUUAACUUCAACUCUUUGAAGUAAAAAUAAAGAAAGAAAGAAGAGAACAAAUAAUUUACUGCACAAAGGUUUAUUUUUCAUUAAUCUAUAGUGGUGCUUAUAUACUAAAAAAAAUGCAAUAACUAAAGCCUAUAAUUAAUCCACUACUUUGUACCUGAUUCCAUGAUCAGCAAUAUUCAAAAAAACUACACCACUAACAUCUAAAAAUCAGCCACUAAACUAAGUUGUUGAGAACAUGGCUAAAAAAAGUUGGAUGAUGUCCAACAAUUGCUCCUACUUUUACUGCAAUAACUAAGGCAAUAAUCAACACUCCUCCAUGCUUCAAUUUCUGCAAAUUCCAAGCCUUUCUCCGAGAAAUUCAAAUCUGCUCUUUGGCAAGGCUUUGGUAAACAUAUCUGCUAGUUGAAGAUCCGUCUUGCAGUACUUUAACCCAAUCGAUCCUUCUUUUUGCAUGUUUCUAAGAAAGAAUAAUUUGAUAUUGAAAUUCUUAGUUUUUGCAUGAAAAAUAGGAUUAUUUGAGAUAGCAAUAGCUGCUUGAUUAUCCACAAACACCUUUGUGCACUUCUCUUGCAUUAAAUUAGAUCAAGUAGCACUUUUCUAAACCAUAAGGCUUGAUUUGCAGCAGCUGACCAAUUUCUUGCUUUUUAGACCACUAAGAAAAUACACCUGAACCAAGACUAAAACAAUAACCAGAAGUGCUCUUCAUGUCUUUAGAAGUUGCUCGGACUCUUCAAUUAUGUCUAUGGGUGCGUGUCGGAUCCUCCAAAAAUAGUAUAUUUUUGAAGGAUUCGACACGGGUGCAGCAACAUUUUUGGAGAGUCCGAGCAACUUAGAUCAGAAUACCCCUGCAACACGUGCUUCUGAUUUGCAUUGAACUUGAUUCCAAAAUUCAGUGUUCCCUUAACAUAUCUUAUCACCCUUUUUUCUGCUCUAAAAUGAGUGUUAGUUGCACAAUUAGUGAAUCUAGAUAAAAGACUUACAGCAUAUAAAAUGUUGGGACUAGUUGCUGUAAGAUACAUGAGACAUCCAACCAUACUUCUGUAAAGAGUCUCAUCCACUUUUUCAGCUUCAUCAUUUUUGCUCAACUUCUCCUUUUGACACAUCGGAGUAGUUGUGUCUUUGCAAUUUUCCAUUCUGAACUUCUUCAAACUGUCUCUUGCAUACUUCUUUUGACAAAUGAAAACUUCAUUUUGCUCUUAAGCCUUAGAAACAGUGCUAUAACCCACAAAUAUUCCAGCUUCCGCCUUUUUAUCAAGCUUAUCUCUUUUACUCUGUGGCACAUAUGUAAAGCACACACAUCCAAACACUGAGAGAUUUUUUUAAAAAGGUGUAAAACCAUACCAGAUUUCAAAUGGUGUCUUUCAUUCUAAUGCUUUUGUUGGAAGCCUGUUGAGUAGAAAGACUAAGACUGGUGUAUGAGUAGUUUCUGCCCAAUACUCUUUUGGUAAACAUUUCUCAUGCAACAAGCAUCGAGCUAUCUCCAUUAUGGUACGAUUCUUCCUCUCACUAACUCUAUUUUUCUGUGGAGUAUAUGCAGCAGUGAGUUGGUGUUCAAUUCCAGCUUCUUCACAAAACGCAUUGAAUUGAUCAAAUGUAUACUCCUUGUCGUUGUCGGACCUUAUAAUUUUACAGCCACUUUGAGUUACAAUCCACUGCUUGAAUUUCCAAAAAAUAGUGGCAACCUCUGACUUGAACCUAAGAAAAUAAAUCCAACACAUUCUCGUAUAGUCAUCGAUGAAAACAAUGCAAUACUUACUACCUUUGAGUGACGGAGUUCGUUGAGGACCAGCCAAAUCUGUGUGGAUUAAUUUUAGCUUUUCAAUGGCUCUCUAGGUUGCUUUCUUGAAAGGCAGCCUUGCAUGUUUGCCAAAUUGACAAGUUUUGCAAUCUGCUAUUUCGACUUCAAGAUUAGGUAGCCCUCGAACCAGAUCUUUCUUUUGUGAGUUAAUUACAGCAGCAUGAUUGAAAUGUUCGAAUCUUUUGUGCCAAACUUGUGCAUUAAUCUUAGUUGCAGAGUAAGCUUUUUUGCUCAUGAUCUAAAAGAUCCUAUGUAAAGCUCCUUCCCUUCAUCAUUACCUUGAAUAAGUUCCUGCCAUCUUCAUCAUUGAUUUGACACUAAUUUGAUUCAAAGAGAAGUUUGAAACCAUUCUCAAGCAUCUGCCCAACACUUACCAGACUAUGGCUAAUAUUAGGUACAAAAAACACAUCUUUGAUUGGUUUUGUACCUAAGGAGUAUUUCAUUUCCACAGUACCUUUACCUUCAGCAAAAAUAUAGUCUCCAUUACCAACUUGUACUUUGGAAAUUACCGAAGUAUCCAAUUUCUUGAAGAGAUCAUGAUCAAAUGUCAUGUGGUUUAUGCAACCACUGUCAAUAAGCCACUUAUCACUCGAGCAGCUAGUUGCCGAAUAUGUCAUUACAAAGAGCUGCUCUUCAUCUUUCUAAUUAGCUACCUAUGCAGCAUUAGUCUGCUGAGUGUUGUUCUUGCAAACCUUCUGAUGAUGUCCCAUCUGCUGACAUUUCUCACACUGUUGGUCUGACCUUCUCCAGCAUUUGAACGGUGGAUGACCCUUCUUUCCACAAUGCUUUCAAGGAGGAAAAUCAUGUUUCACUUCCCUAUUGAUCCCAGGAGAAUGAGAACUUGAGUUUUCCUUCUUGUUCAACUUCUUCUUUCCUCGAUUUGAUUAAACUUUUGCAGGUAGUAAACCCUCAAUCGAUCUUUCGGACCUCAUAAGUCUUCUCCGUUCUUGUACCUACAAAGCAUUCAAUAGUUCUCCCAAACUAAUCUGUGACAGAUCCUUAGUAUUUUCCAGUGCAGAAAUAGUUGUUUCAAACCUUUCAAGGACUAUUACUGGAACUUCUUGAACCAAUCUAGAAUCAGAAAAUACAGAGCCAAGUAAUCUUACAUUGUUGGCAAUGUUGAGUAAUCUAUCAGAAUACUCUUUGAUUAUCUCCAAAUCCUUCCUCUUUAACAGCUUCCCACAAAUUGUUUUUGUAACGCCUCGAUUUUCUGAACCGAAACGCUACACGGUGCUCAUGACCCGAAGGACCACAAGCUAACCCAUGACUGAUAUCUGUACCUGUAAAUUGCAUAAUAUCUCAUAAAAUAUACGGAAACAUGAACUGUAAGGCCAUAAAGUUCAUUACUGAUACAUAUCUGAAAAAUAUGGUAUAACAAUACCAAAAAGAAACAUAAAUACUGAAGUCUGAACAUCUAAUCUGACAUCUAGUCCGAAAUCCUCUAAUUGAACUGAAUAAGGAGUUGAAGGAACAUGUCUCCAACUAACUCUAUGAACUGAAAAACUAAUCUGAAAUACUGCAAUAAAGUAAUAAUAAUAUUGUCCUCGAAUGAAGAGGAGCACUAACGGCUGAAAUCUGCAAUGCUACUGCUGCUCUGAAACUCGUGCCUCUGUACCUAUGGCAUCAAAUAAAACACCAUAGCGCGAAUGCAUCAGUACGACUGAAUGUACUGAGUAUACGAGCGAGGUAGGCUAAAUGCAAAGGGUUUUAUAUGCAUAAACAAUGCUGACUAAUAUGAACGUGAGAAUAUAUACAUACAUACAUACAUACGUAACUGCAACUAAACUCGUGGUGAUACUGACGACUGAGUCUGAAUACUGGAAAUAUGAGUUUACUGAUGCUGAGAUACUGAAUGACUAAGUUUACUGAUAUUGAGAUACUGAAUGACUGAGUUUACUGAUAUUGAGAUAUUGAAUGACUGAGUUUACUGAUAUUGAUAUGUAAUUCACUAAUAAGUGAGGAACUGAUACUGUAUUACUGAAUACUGGGAGACUGAUACUAUAUUACUAAUAAGGAAUGAUUGUUUCUGAUAAUUCUGAUUAUGAAGAACUAAUUUGAUUGAUCGUAUAUAACAGUCCUGGAACUGAGCUCAUGAUAACAUGACUAUUGAGUAUGAAUACUGAUGACAUGUAUUUACUGAUAACAUAUCAUGAAUGAUAACUGAAUUCUGAUAACUGAUAGUAUGAAUGACUGUAUCUGACAGUCCUAGAUCUAAUGGAACUAGCUGAGUUCCGUAUUGUAUCUGAGUUGACUGUAUCUGACAGUCCUGAUAUCCUGAAGAACUAUCUGAGUUCUUUUACUGAGACUAAUAUUGAAACUGUGGGAAGUAGUUAUCUAAUCGACAUGCCCCAAAUAUGCUAAAAUAUAUAAGCUGGGGUCCAAUCUCUACCCUGAUUGGAAGGGUGUCAAUACCGCGCCACUGGUAAGGACAAGCUGUGAGUGACCCUCAUCUAGCAGGUACUCUAAUGAGAACGGUGGAAACCCUCAUCUGCCAGGUUAAGCCACCUCAUCUACCCUCAACUGAUGGGUAUUGAUGUCUCAACCUAUGCUGGCUACAUAGUUCUAGAACGCAAGGACUGCUUCUAAGAAUCACACUCUCUACUGGUAGGUGAGUUCCUAUCCUUGGGUUCGCUCGGUGCUGAAUCCUACUCCCAACUGAAUGACACUGAACUAAUUAUACUAAAUUGAUUUCCUAGUUCGUACUAGAAUUAACUGAACUGUUACUGAUCUGUUUAACUGAACUGGACAUGGACUGAGUUUAUUAAGUUACGAUGCCUAGCGGAACACUACUGAAUUCUGUUAACUGACUAAAUGCUAUUGAGUUCUGUUAGCUGACUGAAGUCUACUGAACAUGGCUUGACUGAGAGUAUCGUGAAAACAUGACAUGGCUCUAGGCACACAGCUAUAUUUUUCGGGUACGAAUACCUCCAAGACUCGAUGGAAGGAAACUGACAUGACUUGACAUACAAGAGUACUUGACCAACAUUAACAGUCCAUAAUAUAGCAUCUAUGGGAGAUUCAUAAAUCAUGUGGUUUUCAUAACCUUUUCAUAUAGCUAACAUCAUGGUCAAUUCUAAUAUCAUGACAAGCCAACAACAUAUUCAUAGCACAUUAAUAGCAUAGAAAUCAUCUUGAUCAAGUAGACAUGACAUAACUGAAGAGACAUGGCAAAAUCUUNNNNNNNNNNNNNNNNNNNNNNNNNNNNNUCAUUAUUUAUUCGUUGAGGCACAUUAUCAAACACAUGGUAGGCAUAGCUUUAGCAUGGAAGUCAACUUAAGCACAUGGAUAUGGCAUGGAAUCAUCAUUUAUAUCACAAAUAGGUCAAAGUUCUCAAUUCUUCUUCACUUAGGCAUUUACAAACACCUUGCAUGCACUAUUUAGGGCAUAGGCCUAAUGAUCAAUUUUAUACACCAUAACACCAUAAUUCAACUCAAUUUCACCAAUUGAAUCAACAAAAUAUCAUGGUAUCUCGAACAACAUGUAAAGAUUCAAACUUUAUUCACACAACAUGGAAUUCACGUGAAAUCAUAAAAUAUGGAGUAAGGACUUGUUAAUUGAGCACUCUUAAAUCAUGAAAACAUGAUUAUGCCUAUUCUAGGCAUUUCGUCGAACACCUUGCAUGAACACUUUAUGGCAUAGGUGUUCUUAAUAAUUUAGUCAUCUUAAACCACCCAAUNNNNNNNNNNNNNNNNNNNNNNNNNNNNNNNNNNNNNNNNNNNNNNNNNNNNNNNNNNNNNNNNNNNNNNNNNNNNNNNNNNNNNNNNNNNNNNNNNNNNNNNNNNNNAAGAAAUUCUUAGACAUGUUCUUGAUUCCUUGACUAGGGUUCUUGUUCCUUUGAGAGAAAAUAAAUUGGCUCUUGAGUUUGAAAAACUUGAAUAUCAUAUAUUCUUGAAGACGGAUUUGAUUCUUGUUAUAGGUUAUGAUCUUGAGAGAAACCCUUCUUUUGAUGUUGAAGAUAAAUGAGGAGUUAUGUUCUUUAAUUGAUUGGAUUUGAGUCUUCAAAUUGAAACCCUAGCUUGAGUUCUUGAGAGUAUUUUGAGAAGAGGAGUAUAUUUUGUUACAAAUAAGCCUUAAUCCCUUGUUUGGGGUAUAUAUAGGGGUGGAAGAUGACCAAGAUACCCCUAAGGAACAAUUAAGGUUAAAUCUGUCCCUAAUUGACUGUCUGAAAGGCUGAAAAAAAUUGAUCAUAACCUUUUAUUUAGAUGUACAAAUGGGAUGAAACUAAUUUCAUUGGAAAGGAGACUCAAAGAUCUUUCCAUUGAUAUAUAGAAUCUCUCACAGUUCAUUAUAUAUUGGGAGUUAUCAUCGUUUGAAGUUGACUCUGAAAUGCUGAAAAAAUUGGGCAAGCACUGGAGUUAGUAGGCUGCGCGGGCUAAUCGUCCGGGGCUUCUGUUUUGUGCACCCAAACAUGCCUUUACGCUACUCCAAAAAUUAUGAAACUCACCCGGGAUAUAUUACGAUCUUUCCCGAUCGUAACUCAACUUGAAAAUUAAAAAACGGUCGUCGGGAAGGUCGCCAAAUAAAUCCCCAAAGUUUGGAGGUCUAAAAUAAAACUAAGUGUUGAAUCUUGAACACUUAGCAAAAUUUUCUAAGUCUUGGGAUCUUUCAUGGAGCUUUACGAGCUGAAUUUGACACGUGAUUUUGUGGGGUAUUACAAUAUCUCUCCCUUGGGAAUAUUCGUCCUCGAAUGAGACUGACUGAGAGGGGAAAAUGAUAAACUGGAGUACGUACAAGAAAUUCACUACUGAGACAUGGGUUCAUGACUGACAUGAUUGAAAAUUGAGCAUAUUAUAUUGAACAUGCACAUCUGAUGCAUGGGUAACUAGUUUAUGAAUGAAGGACUGAGUGUUCUGAUAAACUGAGUUUCUCAAAUGGGAAUGCAUAUCUGAUGCAUAACUGAUAAGCUGAAUCCAUGUAUAUCUGAUACAUGAAUACAUGACUGAAAGUGUGGAUAAGCUGAUCACACAUAACUGAUGCGUGAAUACAUGACUGAACUGGCUCGUGAACAUGCGACUGAACAUACAAUGGUAAAAGAUACUAAGUUUUGAACUAAAAGCUGGGCAUGGAACUAAAUACCAAGUUUGGUACUGAAAUCUGAACAUGAGAAUGAGUAAGUUCAAGGAAGACUGUUACGUUGAACUGGAAAUAACAGUGAGUCUGAGAUUAAUUACUCAAUAGGCAUGAGCGGGAACAUGAGGACGUAACUGAGCCUGAAACAUGAUACAUAAACGAACUGAGCUUGCAUCUGCUGAAAACUCAUGGUCGACAGGAGCCUUUCUUUAACACCCUUUCUUUAACUCUCUUUCUAUAGAGUUCUAGUGGCUCUAGAUUGCAAGGAAAUCUUGGUGUGGUCUGUCCCUAAUUGACUGUCUGAAAGGCUGAAGUAAAUUGAUCAUAACUUUUUAUUUAGAUGUCCAAAUGGGAUGAAACUAAUUUCAUUGGAAAGAAGACUCAAAGAUCUUUCAAUUGAUAUAUAGAAGCUCUCACAUUUCAUUAUAUAUUGGGAGUUAUGAUCAUUUGAAAUUGACCCUGAAAUGCUGAAAAAACUGGGCAAGCACUGGAGUUAGCAGGCUGCGCGGGCUAGUCGCCCGGGGCUUCUGUUUUGGGCACCCAAACAUGCCUUUACUCUACUCCAAAAAUUCUGAAACUCACCCAGGAUAUACUAAGAUCUUUCCCGAUCGUAACUCAACUUGAAAAUUGAAAAACGAACGUCGGAAAGGUCUCCAAAUAAAUCCCCAAAGUUUGGAGGUCUAAAAUAAGACUAAGUGUUGAAUCUUGAACACUUAGCAAAAUUUUUUAAGUCUUGGGAUCUUUCAUGGAGCUUUACGAGCUGAAUUUGACACGCGAUUUUGUGGGGUGUUACAGUUUGCAUCCAUAUAUGCCUCCAUUCUUGCUGCCUAGACAUGAUAGCCUUCACCUUUAAAGACAGGUGGUGCUAGUGCAGUGAAAGGAGUCUCUGAAUCCAUAGAAGAAAAAACAAGAAGAGAAAGAUAUGUUUCCCUCAAAUGCAGGUCCCUAAAGAAGACAUCUCUUGAUACCAAUUUGUUGGAGUUGUAAGGUUAACUUCAACUCUUUGAAGUGAAAACAAAGAAAGAAAGAAGAGAACAAAUAAUUUACUGCACAAAGGUUGAUUUCUCAUUAAUCUAAAGUGGUGCUUAAAUAGUAAAAAAAAUGCAAUAACUAAAGCCUAUAAUUAAGCCACUACUUUGUACAUGAUUCCAUGAUCAGCAAUAUCCAAAACAACUACAACACUAACAUCUAAAAAUCAGCCACUAAACUAAGUUGAGAACAGGGCUAAAAAAUGUUGGAUAAUAUCCAACAAUUGCUCCUACUUUUACUACAACAACUGAGGCAAUAAUCAACACAUGCACAUCGUCAUAACAUUAGUACAUCACAAAAGAACUGUCAAAACAGGGAAAGCUCACCUUUCUUCAUUGCACUCCAUGUAGUAGGCAGAGGGUGGAAUAGCAGUUUGGUUGUUCCAAACACAGCGUUUUCACUUCCUGAAAGUUCAAUAAUACGGAACAGUUAACAGAAAACCUCAUUGACAUCUCCUAUGACAAGUAAAAGCAGUGUUGAUCUAGAAAGCAUCACAUGAACAGCUAGCUCCGUCAUAGCUAACAUUAUAACAUGUUCUAAACACAAGUUGCUGUCCGUGUUUGAGCAAAAAAAGGAGCUCAUUUCCCUACAUUUGAAUAUGUCGAAGGUUCUUUAAUUCACGCUGUAAGCAGUGAACACGAACAAAUAAAAGGUAGUUAAGUAAUCUGAAGUCCAGACUGCAUGAAAGUUAACAUUUGUCCCCCGUAUUGUUUCCACUAAAUGUACAAUUAGAGAUAUGUUCGCUACGUUUCAUUUCAAUUUUCACCCCUAUUUCCUCAAUUUAGUGCCACACAGGAUGAAAAUCAACAAAUUGAAUCUCAACAAAAAGUAAAUCCAGAUGUGUUAAAUUCUUGAAAUAAAAUCCCUGCAGGUAUUAGCAAAUUUUCCUUGCUAAUCCACACGCGGCUACAUUGACUUCGGCCAGAUUGCACAAAAUCGUGCUGAUACAUUGAUAUCAAACAAAAUCGACAUUCCGUCAAGGCUAUCAGUUUCUUACAAGGUGAUAAUUUAUAUGGACGGGGAAUAUUACUUAAACUCACACAAGUACUUAAUAGAUUUCUUAAAACACACGCACACACAACAGGUUACUGAAUUACGUACACACAUAAGUGGGUUACAAGAUAAUCUGUUUAAAUUGUCUUGUUCUUAGCCAUUUCUAUACGCAUUGAUACUUAACGAUAGUGAUAAUCUUGCUGCUAAUGACAGUUUUUGUCUUGGUUGAGACAGCAUAAAACAUCUCCAUGCACUGUCAUUUUCAUUAUUUUGAUGUUUCACCUACCUCAUAAAUCUAGAGGAAAUAUUCAAAAACAAGAACAAUGAGCUAAGUGGUCUAAGGGGCUGCAAUUUUGUAGUACCCCCGCAUCCAUUAACACGAUGCAAACUAGGUAUAAUUAUACAAGAAAUGUAUAAAAAUUGGUAUAGGAUUUAAAAAGGAAUGCUGGAAACCAAGAUGAUAGUUAAGUGCAUUGUUUCCAGGCGGAACCUUAAAGCCUUGGGGGUCAAUAUGCGUGUUCGAACCUCCCCGACACCCACGAUCCCUAAAUCAUGAAUCCACCACUGAUGUGGUCUCAUGAUACCAAACUCAUCAAUAUAUGAAACAUCUAUGACCUUUACAAUUUCUUUAAUUUGAUGUUGCAGCCUGCCACAUUAAUCUAAUGGACCUUUUCUAAUAAAAAACAGUGAGCCAACUGGUCCAAUAAUGCCUAACUAAUCAGUAUAUAAGGACCUAAAAAUAGUUGAGCCAUAUAUGCAUGUCACAUUACAUUCUUCUGCACUUUUUUCUUCCCCUUUCAUAAUAGUACCAAGCCAAAAGGUACCUACAAAGAUGGAAGUUAAGAACAAGUAUGUAGCAAUAAAAGCCAGCAUAAAUGGUGCACCAAAAGAGUCAGACUUUGAGAUAAAAGUCGAAAACCUCUCACUUAUAGUUGAGCCAGAGUCUAAGGUGGUGGUUGUCAAGAACCUGUUUGUAUCAAUUGAUCCCUAUCAGAUAAACUGGAUGAAGAGCCAAAGUUCAUCACAAACAUCGAUAAGAUAUGCAAAUGCCAUUACUCCUGGAGAGGUCAUUGACACUUAUGGUGUAGGAAGAAUGUUGGUUUCUCAUCGGCCCGACUUCAAGAAAGAUGAUUUGGUAGCAGGCUUUCUUACCUGGGGAGAGUACACUAUAGUAAAGGAAGGUUCCCUGUUGAAUAAGUUGGAUCCUAGUCUGGCGUUUCCUUUGUCUUACCAUGUUGGAGUUUUGGGAUUCAGCGGACUUGCUGCCUAUGGUGGAUUCUUCAAAGUGUGCAAGCCGAAGCCAGGGGAGAAAGUUUUAGUGUCUGCUGCUUCUGGUACAAUCGGACAUUUAGUAGGACAGUAUGCUAAAUUACUUGGAUGUUAUGUUGGUGGCUCUGCUGGUAGCCAAGAAAAGGUAAAUUUUCUUAAGGAGAAACUUGGAUUCGACGAUGCAUUCAAUUAUAAACUAGAAGCUAACCUCAAAUCAGCUCUCAAAAGGUGUUUCCCUAAAGGGAUUGACGUCUACUUUGACAACGUCGGAGGCAAGAUGCUAGAAACUGCAUUGUCAAACAUGAACUCACUGGGCAGAGUAGCCAUCUGUGGGGUUAUUUCUGAGUACACGAAUGCUAGCACACGAGCUUCCCCGGAAAUGUUGGAUAUAGUCUACAAGAGGAUUAGCAUCCAAGGAUUCCUAAUAGCUGAUCUCAUGACAGUGUAUGCAGAUUUCCUGUCGAAAACAGUUGAGUACCUCCACGAUGGAAAACUUAAGGCCAUCGAAGAUAUCUCACAAGGCGUUGAAAGCAUUCCCUCUGCUUUUAUUGGAAUGUUCAAUGGAGAUAAUAUAGGCAAAAAGAUUGUCAAAGUUGCAGAUGAGUGAAAAAAAGAAAAAGAAGAUUCACGGCUGUUGGCCUAUACAUUCAUGAAUUCGCGAACAAUAUCUUAUCUGUACUUCUUUCAAGUUGUAAUCCAUUUAAGCAUUCAUCUUCUGCAUCAAGUUAAAGAACAAGUUUACGUAUUAUGCCUAUCUGAAUCUUGUUUAGUUUUCCUUUUCAUGUAUCCAGGAUUGAAACAAACUCUGUGAUCCUAGUCUACCAACUAUGCCUCAAUCCCAAAUUUUUUAUAUCAACUCAACAAAGUGGAAAAAUACAUCUUUAGCAACUACUUCAAGACCACUAUAAGAUAAAGCAAUAUCAAGGUCCCCAUCAACAUAGAGACCAACUAUUAUGCCAAAAUGAACCCGGGUACUGCAAUAGCAGAGAAGUAAAGUGACAAUGGUUGUACGUAAGUUAGUUUCAAUAGAAUAACAUGAUGGAAAACACUAAAUGUACUAGUAUCACAGUAGAAACAAAAUUUGAGAGGAAUGGAUCAGGAAGAGGAUAAACGUAAUACCAAGUGUUACAUUAACGGCAUUAAUCAUGAACCUGCAGUCAUCCUUCCAUUCAAACAGACUGUCAACAGCCUCUGCCAACGCAGAAUGAACAACUAACUUCUUGUGUUUUCAAGAAAUUAUGGUCCUACAAUUGCAGCCACAGGAAGACACACACAUAGUAGUGAAUGCUUCAUCGUAAGGCUAUUCAUCCUUGACGAGAGCGGUUAAAAGGCACCACAAAGAUGCAUAACCACAACUCCCCUGGAGAGCAAAGAACGUGCCAAAACUAGCACUCAUCAACUUGCGACACUUUUUUUUUUGGGAGAACUAAUUGCAAUAUAAGGAAAAAGAAUUCGAUAAUAUGGACUAUUAUCAUCACAAGUAUCAUGUGACAGAUCAACAUCUAGUUCAGAUUGAUCUACAAAAGCCACACAUUCAAGGGAAGGAGAAGCUUGUUCAACAUUUGUUAUGAUGAACUUGACUUUAAGCUACCAAUAAUGUGAGACGAGAUUUAGCAGACAGGUAACUCUCGCUACAUACAUGCACAUGGUAUGGUAAUAACAUCAGUACAUUACAAAGGAACUGUAGAAACAGGGAAAGCCCGCAUUUCUUCAUUGCGUUCCAAGCAGUUAGCACAGAGAGUGAACUAGCUGUUCGGUUGUUCCUAACAUAGCUUUUUCACUUCCUGAAAAUUCAAUUAGACAGAUUAGUUAGCUGAUAACUGCAUUGACAUCUCAUAUGACAAGUAAAAGCAGUAAUGAUCAAGAAAGCAACACAUGAAGAGCGAGUCCCGACACAGUCUACAUUUAAAGUGUAUUAAACACAAGCUGCUGGCCUUGUUUGAGCAUAAAAGACGAGCUGCAUUUCCCUACAUUUAAAUAUGUCGAAGGCUCUUUAGUUCAUGUUGUAAGCAGUGAAGAUGAACAAAUACAAGGUAGUUGGAUAACCUCAAGCUAGACUGCAUGAAAGUGGUGUAUAAAUGGUAUACUUAGUAUGACAAAUCCCAUAAGAAAAUAAAAAUGAACAAAGAGAUGCUCAUCCUGAUUCCAGUGCAACAUAUUGACCGGCCCAAAAAUGGGUAAUUUGAUUCAGAUCUGGAACACUUCACAGAAAGCAUGACCCUCCCACUACUAAAAAAGACCAAAAAAUGACGGCCAAAAGUGAAGGACAAUGUCGUUUUUUUGGACAACGUUGCUUUUUGCAAACGAUGGCCUGCGUCGCUUUUUUUACCGCGGACAAAGUCGUUUUUUGAAAAAAAAAAAAAGAUCUUUUUAGAAAAAGCGACGUUGUGCGUGGUUUUUUGUUCUUCAUGUGUAGAAUAAAUAAUGAAUAAAAAACGAUGGACAUUGUCAUUUUAUUGAAGAAAAAUAUUUUUUUUUUAGAAAAACCGACAACGUCCGUCGCUUUUCUAUAUUUUUUUGAAUGCAGAAAUCGGCAUUUUCUGCAUUCCACCUGCCAAAUAAAAAUGCAAUUCAAUAUGUACGGCCCCUGACAACACACAUUACUAAAAUAAUCAUACAACACACUACAUCAUCAAAACAUUUAAGCAAUUCAAUUAAACAACAUCCAAAACACUUAACAAUUAAUCCAACAACAUCAAAACACUUAAGUGAUCUUGAAGGUUUUCCAAUAGUUAAAAGUUAAAAGAAUGUUUAAAAAGUGUCUAGAAGCCAAAUCCAAAAACACUAAGGAGUAGCCCCAACAAACUCCUCAUCACUUUCUCCUCAUCACUUUCUGUUUCUUCUUCGCUACUUGAAUCGGGAGAUGGAGAACGGUGACGACAACGAUGAGUCAUGCUAACCAUUUGUUUCUUAAGUUCCUCGAUGGUCAUGCACAUGACUUCAGUUUGAGCAACAGAUUGUGCCACGACGCGUGUAAGCUGUGCAAUUUGUUGCGACAUAUCAGCGAGCUGAACACCAUUAAUCGCCUCAGCCUGGCGCGAGGAACCAAUACCAGCCCAUCCAACCUCGAAGCGUUGCAAUUCAUUUCGAGAACCCAACCCAUAGGUUCUCCCCUUGUCUUCCUCCCGCCACUUUUUCGGUCCGAAUUUGAAUAGCUUCCUCCUAUGUAGGCUCGAUUGGACCAAACUCAGACACGUAGCGUGUAUAUUCAUUCUGCAUAUUAAAAAGGACACGUUAGUAAAUUUUACUAUUACUAAGUAAGGUGGAGCAUAACGUAAAUUUUAAUAUGUUUUGCUUACAUAUUGAAUACAAAAAUAAAUAAGAAAUCAACUUUUUUUUCCUAAACAUUAUUUUAAAGCUAACUUUUGCUUUCCAUCAAAUCUAAUUCGACAAGAAUUUCCACACACAACCCUUUGACUUUUUAAAAUUUGUUCCUCGUAUUGUUUCCACAAAUUGUACAAUUAAAGUUAGCAUGGCUACGUCUCAUUUCAUCCUAUUUCCUCAAUGUAGUGCCACAAAAAGGAUCCAAAUCAACAAACAAUAAGUAAAUCCAUGUUAGUCAAAUUCUUGAAACAAUUUUCCUACAAGGAUUAGCAAAAAUCGUUCGAUAACACUUCUUCCUAUUUCUUUCUCAAUGAUAUCCGACGAUCAAUUUUCCUUGCAAGUACAUACUCGGUACAUUGACCUCGGUCAGAUUUCAGAAAAUUAUGCUAAUACGUUGAUAUCAAACAAAAUAGACCUUCCGAGAAAUGCAUUAAACAAGCCUAUUAGUAAUUUGUACUUGGUGAUACAUCACCAUAGCAUUGAAGAGUUCUUGGAAAGGUCAAGUUACAGAUAUGAUUUGCUACGGUAUUUAGCAACAAGAUAGAGAAUUACUUACAGUAGGGAGACAACUUGUUUAAAAUAACAAAGAAGAGGAGAAUUGAGCUUUAGUAAUUAGAAGAAAGCAUCGCAUUAAACAACGCUUUAAAUCCCAAUAGAUUUAUCUAGAUUCCCCUGUUCAUUGGCAUCUCCAAUCUACACUAGUGAUAAAAACAGUUUAAUGUGUUUCCUCAAUCCUUUUCUCCUUCCAACCCACUUUUCUUCAUGACAACUUUAUUACCAAACUGCGAGAAGAUUUAAAUUGACCAAAUAUGCAACAGAAUGAGAAGAUAGACCUGGAGAAAAUUAUCAGUAAGCUAUAAGCAGCAACGAAAAGGACCAAAUUAGAUAGUAUCUCCUACUUUAACUCUUAUUCAGUAAUGCCACUAUUUCGUAUUUUUCCCUGUUAAGUUUCACCUAAGAAGACAAGUAAAAGUAGGUGCGAGAUCAAACACUAGCACGGGUUAGGCACAUUAUGCUGCCAUGAUUUCUGUGUCCGUGGUCCCCUUUAUGAUUACUCUAUCUAGAGGCCGAAUCGACCCCCUUAUAAAGCUUCUCAAGAAGAACACUAAAAUUAGUCCAGAAGAAAAACACAGAUUAUGUAGAUUGUAAUACCUGAAGAAAAAUACAGCUAGUAACUAGAAGCAAUGAGAAAACCAAAACAAAUCCAGAAGAAACUAAGCAGUUAGCUACCUAUUAGCUGCAAUGAGAAAAGCGAAAAUCAGAUACUAGGAAGACCGUAAUAUCGAUUCCAAAAGUAUCGAGUUUCCGCUUUAUGCCUCAUUAGGUUUCACCAAUAAAAGAUUAAUUAAAGAAGCCACUAGAUCAAACAAUAACCCUGGGAAGGACCUCAGCUUUAUCGGUGCAUUCACAUGCCAAACGUUCUAUGUUCAUGGUGCUCUUACUCCGACUAGAGGCAUAACAUUCUUUAAAACACCGCUGAACAAGAGAAAAGAUGUCCAACAUCAUUUAGUUCAAAGUCAAAGACAAAUUUAUUGUUCCUUGAAGAUAGUGCAUAAAGGAAAAAAUGACUAACAAGAUCUCGAAGCAAUACGGUUUAAAGAUGUCUUUUACAUAUGCAUUGUCUUGUUCUGUAUGCGAAAUAACAAUACGAACUUAACAGCAAUUGAGGAAAACAAAGUAUACUUACAAGUUCUUUGUCACUUGGUUUUCUUUGAUUGGAGUUUUUUCAGCCUUUUGUGUUUUGUUGCAUCUGCAGCCUCUUCUUUAGAAAAAGGACAAACUAGACUUUCAACGUAGAUUGCUAUCUUAGGAAACUCAUCAAAAUCAAUAACCUCUGAAUAUCUAAAUGAAGAAUCCUUCAGCUUGUAUAUCAUGGAAUAUUUAACAAACCUGAAAAAAAUUUCACCUUUGUUUGACAUGAAACAAGGCAGAUAAAAAUCACACCGCGGUGUAUCAAAAGGAUAAUUGACGGUUAACAUCUUUGUCCAAGAUUGUUUAACCCCAUACUCCUUCAUAACCCAAAAAUCUACAUGAGAGGUCGCAUUAUCACAAAAAAUGGAAAGAUCACUUCCCAACACUCCCAAAUACAAAUGAAUAUAUCCCUCUUUGUAGCAAGGAUGCUCCACUUCUCCCCAUUUCUCGUUAGCCAAAUCAAACGAUAUGAUGUUCCAUUCCUUAUAGUCACUUAUCAAACAUUCACCUUAGCAUUAGGCCAGUGAAGUUUCCCCUUCACUAAGAUAUCUGAAAUGUAUACUUCCUCUCGACUUUUACACUUCCUCAAUUGACAAUCGUCAACACUUCCCCAAGAAUCACACUUUAGACUAUAUAGUUUGAGCUCACCUCGAUCGAACUUUACCUUUUCUACAAAAGGUACCCAAUAACUUAUAAUCAUCAUGAAACUUAUCAUAUCCAAAACCAUACACGAGCGCUUUAUCAAACCACAAUGUAGCUCUAGGACAAGGUAAUUUUUUGUACUUUCUAUUCGAUGGAUUCCAUAGAAACAAAUUAUAUUUAGAAUCCACAAGACAAAUCAAUCCAUUGAUAGAACUUAGAAUUGUUAUAUAACUAGGCAAUUCAUUGUACAACCCGUCGGAUAUCAUACGAUGACCCAAGUCAGAUACCUCCGUAACAGAAUCAUUAAAUAAAGAAUCAAGAUUACAAUCUUAAAUAUUCACCCCCUGUAUAGAAUUCCACAUCACCCUAUGUUGGGUAUAACUACUAAGAUGAGUUUGGAUAAAUUCGGGGCUCGAGAUUAAAGCAAGCCAAGAUUUCGAAACACACCUGAAUUGCAAGAGGGACAAAACUCAACAUACGCUUAUAAUGUAGAUGCUCAUUAUUAUUAUCAGAUACAAUAAAAUGUGUAUUAUUAAAUUCGGGGCUAGAGAUUUAGCAAGCCAAGAUUUCGAAACACACAAACUCAACAUAAGCUUAUGAAGUAGAUACUCUUCUUACUACUCCCUCCCCUGACAAUAUUUGUCCACUACACUAAAAUUAAAAAUAAAUGUCAAACAAUACUUGUCUGGUUUAAAAAUCAAUGAAUAAUUUACCCUUUUCUACCCACUUUACCCUCGCUAUUAAAUACUAUUCAUCACUCAAUACAUUUUUCAAAAUAUUAAAGUUAUUACUCCUUCCGUCUAUUUUUACUUGUCCACUUUUCUUAUUAUUUUGGGAUGUGCAACAAUACUUGUCCAAUUUACAAAACCAAUGGUAUUAAAUAUAAUACAUCUCUCAUUUCAUUUUUGAAAGCAAAAAAAUUAUUAUAUUCAAAAGGUGACAUAGUAAAAUCACCCCUCCAUUUAUCGUUUCAAGGUACGUGCCAAGUAAAAAGUGGAUAAGUAUUUACGGACAGAGGGAGUGUAUUCAAAUUUUAUCCUUACUAUUAGAUACUACUCAUCACUCAAUACAUAUUUCAAAAUAUUAAAUUUAUUAUAUUCAAACAGUAAUAUCGUAAAAUUACCCCUAUUAUAUAUUAUUUCUUAACAUGCAUGCCAAUACAGGUAUUGUUGGACAGAGGGAGUAAUAUAUUCGGGGCUAAAUAUUAAAGCAAGCCAAGAUUUCUAAACAUACCUGAAUUUCAAAAGGGAUGAGUUCAGCCGGCAGAAGAGGGAUUGUAAAGUUCAAAUCUUGCAUUGAAUUUGAUGGAAAUCCAGCAGAUUUUGUGCGCUUCUUCCAUUUUUGGUGUUGAGAGUAGGCUUUAUCUUCCUCAUUUUCCAUUUGGGCGCCACAAAUUUGAGUGAAAUUUUCGCAAAGUUUAUAGUAGUCAGCUGUGGAUCGAAUUCGACAUGGGUCGGGUCGGGUAUAUUGGGAAUAGUGGGUUCUCUCUUCAAAAUUGGAUAUCUUUAGGCAAUUUGGGGUUUUUCGUUUAUCUAGAGUAUGGGUAACACAUUUAUUAAUUGUGAGUCAGGUAGACGAUUUGUAAAAAUUGAUCGUAUUUUUGAAAAUAACUUCUUCUAUUUUAUUUUAUUGAAUACUUGGCGCAUAACUUUAUUUGAUUAUUUAAUACUAUGGUAGUAUGGAAAAUAAAUAAUAGAAUACUCUUGAUUUGUAAAAAUAAAUAAGUAAAUUAAAAUUUUCUUGACUUCUGAUUUUGAAUACAAUUCUUUUAAUUUUGAAAUUGUGGGGUCUAAACGACCAAUUUUAAAUGAAAAAUUGGGCGUGUUGUAGCAUAGGCGUUUAGGUCAUAUCUCUAAAUACAGAGUUGAUAGAUUGGUUAAGUCUAAUAUUUUACCUUCUCUUGAUUUUGGGGACAUAGGAACAUGUAUUGAUUGCAUUAGAGGAAUGAUACAAAAGUGAGUGUGUAUCAAUAGAGUCAAGCCAACACAAGAACACAAGAAUAACAAGAUGAACAACAACAAUGUUAGUGAAUCGAAAUAGGCCACACACGGCUUCACUAGACUUCAAGGUUUACAAAAACAAUAAGAUGAUAGAGAUUACAAUAACAACAAGAAGAGCGACAAAGUGACAUCAACUAUAGUGAAUCGAAAAUAGCCCCACACGGCUUCACUAUGUUACCAUACAAACAACAAGAUUACAAAAUUAAAGAUAGUAACUUGACAUACAAUAUUCAAGAAUCUAAGAACCCUAACAACAUGAAAGGACCCUAAGAUUAAAGAAUAUUAUCACCAAGCUCUUACUUGGACCAAGAGGAACUCAAUGACCUCAAGAUCCUAGUUUCUAGCCAAGAUUCAACCCAAGUGUCACUCCAAUUGGGAAUUUCGGUUUUGAGCUUUUCCAAUGGAAGAGAAAAGUUCAAAAUAUUACAAGUCUUGUGUUCUCAAAAUAUCAUGAAUGAACUACCACAAGACUAGCCCUAACAAAUGACUUAUAUAGUCAAUUACAAAGGAGGGACAAAAGACCAAAAUACCCUUGGCAUUAAGUGGGUGGGUUUGGGGUGUUUUGUUGGGCCUCUUCACAUUUUAAUAACUAUAGGCCCUUUGAUGGGCUCACAAGGGCCUCACACAAGGCCAAGGAUGUGAACAAGGUUUGGAGUCGUUGCAACUCACGCGCUUGGCUUCAUGUGAAAGGUCUCGAGCUAGGAAUUCUCGCACCAUCCUCUCCAUCUUGAAGGGAAUUUGUCCUCAAAUUCGGAUCAUUUCCAUCCUCCACCGUGUCCACCCGAGAGAGGUCACACACGUUGAAAGUGUUGUGCACUUGAUAUUCCGGGGGUAGAUCAAUCUUGUAGGCGUUGUCGUUGAUCCUUUCUAAUACUUGGAACGGGCCAUCACCCCGCGGCAUCAACUUAGCAUUCCUUUUAGAUGGGAAUCUAUCCUUCCUUAGGUGCACCCACACCCAAUCUCCCAGUUUAAGAAUGAGCUUUCUUCUUCCUUUAUUGGUUCGCCUUGCAACUUCUUGGUUUUUCUUCUCCAACCGCAACCUCACCUUCUCAUGUAGCUUCUUAUGGCCUCGGCCUAUUUGCUUCCAUCUAAGCUUAUCACAAAAUCACUUGGCAAAGGGUUUAAAUCCAAAGGGGUAAGGGGGUUGAUUUCGUAUACACACUCGAAGGGUGUCAUCCCCGUGCUUGAGUGUAUAACACGAUUAUAAGCAAACUCAAUCAACGGUAAGUGCUCCUCCCAAGAAGUCAUUUUUCCCUUAACCAUGGACCGUAGCAUAGACCCUAAGGUCCUAUUUACUACUUCCGUUUGGUCAUCGGUUUGUGGGUGGCAUGAAAUCGAAAACAACAACUUAGUACCGAGCUUACCCCACAUGGACUUCCAAAAGUGGCUUAGGAAUUUAGAAUUCUUAUCACUCACUAUAGUCCUCGGAACACCAUGAAGUUUUACAAUAUUAUCAACAAACAAAGAGGCUACACUAGGCGCAUCAUCACAUUUAGAACAAGGAAUAAAGUGAGCCAUCUUGGAAAACUGAUCCACCACGACAAAAAUACUAUCCCGCGCCCUUUUAGUUCUCGAUAAUCCCAACACGAAGUCCAUUGAUAUAUCAAGCCAAGGACGCAAAAGGGUGGACAACGGGGUGUACAAUCCAUGGUGUUGGAUCCGUGACUUAGCUCCUUUGCACUCAACACAUUGGCCGCAAAUUCGGGCCACAUCCUUGUGCAUUCUGGGCCAAUAAAAUUAUUCUUCCAAAAUUUCGAGGGUCUUCUCGACCCCAAAAUGACCCAUUAGAUAGUCAUUGUGUGCUUCCUUCACAAAUAAUUCUCUCCACGAACUUGAGGGAACACACAAUCAUCUACCCUUAAAUAAGUAUCCAUCAAAUUUGGUAUAAGGAUAGGAACCCCUAUCCGUAACCCACCUAUCCCUAUCCAACUCUUUAUUUUCCCUAUAGAUAGGAGCGAAGUGAGGGUCCUCGGGAUAUAAAGACUUGAGGCUUUCAAACCCCAUCAACUUAGAUGACAAAGUAGACACAAGCACAUGUUUUCGGGACAAAGCAUCGGCAACCACAUUGUCUUUACCCUUCUUGUAAUGAAUAACAUAAGGGAAAUUUUCAAGAAAUUCAAUCCAUUUGGCAUGCCGCCGGUUAAGCUUGUCUUGUGCCCGUAGAUGCUUCAAGGAUUAAUGAUCUGUUUGGAUCAUGAAUUCUUUAGGCCACAAAUAAUGUUGCCAAGUGGCCAAGGCUCUAAUCAAGGCAUACAACUCAAAAUCAUACGUAGAGUAGUUUAGAGUUGCUCCUUUGAGCUUUUCUCUAAAGUAGGCAAUAGGCUUCAAUUCUUGCAUUAAAACCGUACUUAUGCCGACUUUGCUAGCAUCACAUUUGACCUCAAAAAGUCUAGUCAAAAUUCGGCAAUUGUAGUAAAAGGGUCGAGAUGAGCAUAGCUUUCAAGUCCUCGAAGGCCUUAGCUUGUUCAUUUUUCCACUUGAAAGGUCGAUCCUUUUUAAUCACUUCGGUCAAGGGGGCGGCAAUGGUGCUAAAUCCUUUGACAAAACGUCUAUAAAAACUAGCCAACCCGUGGAAGCAUCUCACUUCACCUAUGGUUUUGGGGGUUGGCCAAUUUUUAAUAGCGUCAAUCUUAGAUUCAUCCACUUCGACCCCUCUUGAGCUCACCACAAACCCAAGAAAUACAACCUUAUGGAGACCAAAAGAACACUUUUCUAGAUUGGCAUAUAACUUCUCCUUUCGGAGGACAUCAAAUACACAUUAUAAAUGCUUUACAUGCUUAUCUAAGGACUUACUAUACACCAACACGUCAUCAAAGUAAACAACAAAAAAAAUUCUGAUAAAUGGCUUUAUCACAUGAUUCAUUAGCCUCAUGAAAGUACUUGGAGCAUUUGUUAGGACGAAUGGCAUAACCAUCCAUUCACAGAGACCGAAUUCGGUCUUGAAGGUGGUUUUCCAUUCAUCACCCGAUUGCAUACGAAUUUGGUGAUAGCCACUCCUUAAAUCAAUUUUAGAAAACAAACACGAACUAUUCAAUUCAUCAAGAAUAUCAUCUAGCCUAGGAAUAGGGUGAUGAUAUUUUACUGUUAUCUUGUUGAUGGCUCGGCAAUCAACACACAUACACCAAGUCCCGUCUUUCUUGGGCACUAGUAGCACCGGGACUGCACAAGGGCUCAUACUCUUCUUGAUAUACCCUUUGUUGAGGAGUUCCUCAACUUGGCAUUGCAAUUCUUUGGUAUCCGUUGGGUUGCUCCUAUAAGCCGGUUUGUUGGGCAAUUGUGAACCCAGUACAAAAUCUAUUUGAUGCUCAAUUCCCCAAAGUGGGGGCAAUUCUUGUGGUAAUUCUUUCGGGAAGACAUCUUCGUAAUCCUGUACAACAUGAGAAAUAGGAGGAGAAAUGGAAACGUUAGUGGGGUUAGUAUUAAAAUAAUGAGCCAAGAGGAGCAUCGGAGUGUCCUCAUCAUGAUCCACAAAUAGUUCUUUCCUCCUAUACAUCAUCACCACACUUCCUUGCCCCUUAGAAAUUAGGAUCUCCUUGGUUUCUCCUACUCUCUCACUCUCGGAUUCCCCUCUUUUUCCCUCACUCUCGACCUUCUUUCCCUUCUUCCUCAAUUCCCGCAUCUUUUGGUGUAAUUCAUUCACUUGGGAAGGCAAUAAUGGAUGAAGAGCGAACUUUCGGCCAUCCUUCUCAAGUGUAUAUCGAUUGGACCUUCCAUCAUGUUUAGUCGACCUAUCGUAUUGCCAAGGCCUUCCUAACAAUAAGUGACAAGCUUGCAUUGGUAUCACGUCACAAAGCACCUCGUCAUGGUAGUUGACUACCUUAAAACGUAUCACGCAUUGCCUUGUGACCUUUAACUCUCUGCAUUUAUUCAACCAUUGCAACUUGUAAGGACUAGUGUGAGGUGUAGUUGGAAAUUUCAAGAAGUUCACCAUUGCAACACUAACCACAUUCGCAUAACUUCCACUAUAUAUCACCAUAGUGCACACACUUCCCUUCAUAAGACAUUUAGUAUGGAAUAGAUUCUCCCGUUGGCUAGGAUCAUCUAUCACCUUACUAAUCAUGGCACGCCUCACUACAAAGUUUAGAACCACACACUCCCCUUCUUUCGGAUAUGGAUCCUCACAAUCAUCAUCAUCAUCAUGUGGCUCAUUUUUGGGUUCCUCUCCAUCUUGAGUCUUGGCCUCAUUCUCUUCAUUUUUAAGACCCACUUCCUCACCAAGGUAAUACAAUCUCUCUUCUCUUAGGAUCACAUUGUGUCGGUUUGGACAUUCAUUGGCUUUAUGUCCCCAACCUUGGAACUUAAAACAUUGGAACCCUUUAGGAUUAGGAUACUUAUGAGCCUCUUGCCUUGGUGGAUAUUUUUGUAUUGCCUUGGCCUCGGGUUGCCUUGUAGUGGUGUGUUGGUCUUUGUUUUUGUGCCAACCCGUGGUGGAGGAAGCAACCUCCUUACCCCUCGGCCAACCCGAGGGUGCUUGACCCUUGGAUUUGUAACUUGUUCUUUCCUUAAAUUCUCUUUCAAUUUUAAUGGCCUCUUGAAAGAUUCCUUCAACGGUAUCAAAUUUAUGGAGAGUCAAGUGAGUAGUAAUAUCCUUAUUCAACCCACACUUGAACCGAAUAAUGUCAUGGACGAUUUGUUCUCCCCGAUGGCCAAGCUUCAACAUGAGUUAUUGAAACUCAUCAUAGUAUGCCAUAACACUUCGAUUCCCUUGUCGCAAGUUGUACAACCUCGCAAUCAACUCAUGACGAUACCUUUUGGGAAGGUACCAUUGCCUCAUUAGAUACCUUAAUCGAAACCAUAGUGGUGGUUGCCUAUGUAUCAACUCAUUUCCAAAUCGCUUGAUGUAUUCCCACCAAGUGUUAGCAUAGACUUCAAAGUGGGCUAUGGCAUAAAAACUCUUCUUCUCCUCGAAAAUAUCAUUCACUUGGAAUACCUUGUCACACGCUGAUUCCCAAGCGAGAUACACCUCGGGGUCACUUUCACCCUUAAAGAUAGGUAGACUCAAUUUGAUGGUAUUGAUGCCCAUGUCUCUCUCUAGGUGUUGGUUUCCCCUUUCUCUAUACCCUCGGUAUCUCCUUGGAUCCACACGACCCUCUCUCAUCUCCUCCUCCCUUAUGUAGGCAUCGUCAUAGGCUCCAUACCCUUCAUAAUCCCCUCUACCAUAUUCCUUAAGAUGGACAGGACGAUUUUGGACAUUUGGAACUUGAUUCGGAGGAAUUGGAUUUUGUGGAGGUGGUGGUAUUUGGUUUAGUGGAGCUUGGAAAGAGGGGGUUUGGGUUUUGUGGAGGCAUUUGACGUCUAAGUACCUCUUGCGGAACUUGAGGAAUUUGGGAAUGGGUUGGUCUAUUAGAGUCUCGAUUUAGAAUGUUAUGAGUGGUUUGGCUUGCGGCAUUUAGGGGAGCUAGUGAAGAAAUUGGCAAUUGUGGCCAUGUUUUGGGAGUAACGGUGGCGGAGGAAUUUCUAUCAUGUCCACUUGAUGAAACAUUUCAAAGAGUAGAAGGACGAGAGUUCCUUUGACUCUCCACUUAUUCUAAUUCCUUUGACUCUCCACUUGUUCUAACCUCCCACUAAUAGUCGUCACUUCUCACCUUAUGGCUCCCACUUCCAUACUCAAUCUUUCAAGAGUGACCCUCAUAUUCUUCAUUUCAUUAGAAUCCACGGUUUGACAUGUGGUUCCCUCCAUUGUCAAGGUAUCACCUACGCAAACAUCAAACACGUUAGUUAAAAUCCCUCUUCUCACUCACACUCGAGCUCCACAAGUGUUGUAGAUUGGCUAGUUGAAUCCUUAAGGUAUGAGUAUGCUUUUGUCCGGAGUGGAUUUUUGUUGGAAACUCAAAGAAUUCUCGUCGGAAUAGAGCCAAGAGUUACAACGUAUUCAAAUGACAAAAGAACACAAACAAACGUUGACACGAACACAAAGCUUCAAAGGACUAAUUAACAAGCUAGUAGGAAUGUACUAGGUUGUCAAUUAGUGUUCAAACCAACAAAAAACACUAAGAAACAAUAAAAUUAAACUAAGAAAUCUAAAAUUUGAACUCAAAAUAUUGUGUGAACAGUAAUUUAGUGAUGUGGCAGUCCACUAUUGGCCUCGGUUUUGUCAGAAUUUUACUCUCCAAUUUCAAGUCUUGACCAAUCUAUAAUUUGGAAAUGGUGGAAUUGGUUAAUGGAGGAAAAUUCGAUCUUGAAGCUUACUUUUCAAAUUCAAAACAAGACUUGACCUUCUUGGUACUUUCUCCUUGAAACAAGGUCAUUAAAUCAAGGAAAGUAGGUGAAAAGUGGUUGUCAAGUCUUUUGAGUGAUGUGAUCAAGUCUUUCAUCAACAAAUACUACAACUUGGUGUUUCACCUUUUGUGGAUCUAAUGUUAACUUUUUGUUUUAAAAAAGAUGAAAAGGGUGAAGAACAAAAAGAACACAAUAACAACCCCAAGAACAACCAACAACAACCACGGCCAAAACAAUCCACCACAACAACAAUGUUCAACAAUGGACAGCCAAGUUCAAGUUCACAAUAACAAAAUCAAUUUUUAGAGCUCAAAUCUAGAUCGACUCAAAGUGUUAGUGAACAAGAGAAAUAAAACUAGAAACAACACUGAAGACAAUUAAAAAUCUUUCGAAGACACAACAAGAAUACAAUUUUUGUCCAAGAACACAACAACGGACAGAUUUGACUGUUUCUGAAAUUUUUCAGUUUUCAGUUUUUUUGUUUUUUGUAGUUUUCAAGUCCCAAGCCCAAGAUUGAUCUUGUUAAAACAAAAUCGAAGAUGACUUUGAUACAAAAGUGAGUGUGUAUCAAGAGAGUCAAGCCAACACAAGAACACAAGAAUAACAAGAUGAACAACAACAAUGCUAGUGGAUCGAAAUAGGCCACACACGACUUCACUAGACUUCAAGGUUUACAAAAACAAUAAGAUGAUAGAGAUUACAAUAACAACAAGAAGAGCGACAAAGUGGCAUCAACUAUAGUGAAUCGAAAAUAGCCCCACACGGCUUCACUAUGUUACCACACAAACAACAAGAUUACAAAAUUAAAGAUAGUAACUUGACAUACAAUAUUCAAGAAUCUAAGAACCCUAAAAACAUGAAAGGACCCUAAGAUUAAAGAAUAUUAUCACCAAGCUCUUACUUGGACCAAGAGGAACUCAAUGACCUCAAGAUCCUAGUUUCUAGCCAAGAUUUAACCCAAGUAUCACUCUAAUUGGGAAUUUCGGUUUUGAGCUUCUCCAAUGGAAGAGAAAAGUUCAAAAUAUUACAAGUCUUGUGUUCUCAAAAUAUCAUGAAUGAACUACCACAAGACUAGCCCUAACAAAUGAAUUAUAUAGUCAAUUACAAAGGAGUGACAAAAGACCAAAAUACCCUUGGCAUUAAGUAGGUGGGUUUGGGGUGUUUUGUUGGGCCUCUUCACAUUUUAAUAAGUAUAGGACCUUGGAUGGGCUCACAAGGGCCUCACACAAGGCCAAGGAUGUGAACAAGGCUUGAAGUCAUUGUAACUCACGCGCUUGGCUUCAUGUGAAAGGUCUCGGGCUAGAAAUUCUCAUAUCAAGGAAAGUUGACUAAAACAAGCAAAAAGAAUGAUAUUUGUAGUUCUAGUUGUUGAAAAUCAUUCACCCAGACAUAAGUGGUCCGUAUUAUACUUCAAUAUGUGGUUCAAAUUAUUUUAUCACCUUUAUUGAUAACUUUUCUCGGUAUGAUUAUGUUUUUCUUAUUAAAAAAAUCAUAUUCUCUUGAAAUGUGCAAAGUGUUUAAAACUGAAGUAGAGAAACAACUGGGAAAGGUUAUUAAGAUAGUGUGGUCUGAUCAUGAGGGUGAGUACUAUGGUAGAUACACUGAGACUGGGCAACAGAUGGGACCUGUAACACCCCAACUUAGGAAGGAGUUCCACAUCAGCAAAACACAGGAGGAAUGUUUGGUAUAUAAGUAAGAAAACCUUACUCCCUAGUGAUGCGUUAAAUCCAUGAGGGCCUGGACCCAGAGUGGACAAUAUCACUAGUGGGUUGAGGAGUUCAGGGGUAUCUCGGGCCUUGAUGGUUCAGGAUGUCCGUUAUGGCCAGGGCCCGAGCUCGGGUCAUGACAGAACUCUUUGCCAAAUAUCUACAAGAUUGUGGCAAAGUUUCCCAGUACACCAUGCCUGGUAGUCCUGACCAAAAUGGUGUAGUCGAAAGGCGAAAUAGUACUUUAAAAGAUAAUAAUGAGAAGUAUGAUGAGUAGAUCUAACUUACCUGAGUUUCAAGCUAUUAAAACUGUACUUUAAAAGAUAUGAUGAGAAGUAUGAUGAGUAAGCUAUUAAAAUCAUACUUUAAAAGAUAUGAUGAGAAGUAUGAUGAGUGUGAAGCUAUUAAAAUUGUACUUUAAAAGAUAUGAUGAGAAGUAUGAUGAGUAAGCUAUUAAAAUCAUACUUUAAAAGAUAUGAUGAGAAGUAUGAUGAGUAAGCUAUUAAAAUCGUACUUUAAAAGAUAUGGUGAGAAGUAUGAUGAGUAAGCUAUUAAAACCGUACUUUAAAAAACUUGUACUUUAAAAGAUAUGAUGAGAAGUGUGAUGAGUAAGCUAUUAAAACCGUACUUUAAAAGAUAUGAUGAGAAGUAUGAUGAGUAUGAUGAGAAGUAUGAUGAGUAAGCUAUUAAAAUCGUAAUUUAAAAGAUAUGAUGAGAAGCCGUAAUUUAAAAGAUAUGAUGAGAAGUAUGAUGAUUAGAUACGAUGAGUAGAUCUAACUUACCUGAAAUCCUCUGGGUUGAAGCUGUUAAAACCUCCAUAUAUAUUCUUAAUUGUGUCCCUUCCAAAUCAGUCCCUAAAACCCCUUUUGAGUUGUAGAACCAACAGAAAAUUUAGUUUAAAUUAUUUUCGAGUUUAGAGACCUUCUGCAAAGGUAAAGAUAUAUAACCCUUCAGAAAAAAAAACUGAACCUAGAACCAUGCGUUGUUUUUUCAUUUGGUUAUCCAACUGCGAAUGUAAAGAUAUAUAACCCUUCAGAAAAGAAAACUGAACCUAGAAGUUGUUUUUUCAUUAGUUAUCCAACUCAUUCUAAAGGAUAAAGGUUCUACAGUCCUACAAGGGGAACAAGAAUAGUUGAAUCUCAAAAUGCAAAACUUCUUGAAUUUGAUGUUGCAGAUAAGGAUUGUUCUCAGCAUAUCUCAGCAUAUCACUCCUGACUUAAUUGUUUCCCAUUCAAGUCAGUCCUUAAAACCCCUUUUGAGUUAUGGACCAAUAUAAACUUCAGUUUAAAUCAUUUUUCGAGUUUGGAGAUGUUUUGCGAAGGUAAAGAUAUAUAACCCUUCAGAAAAGAAAACUGAACCUAAAACCUCGCAUUGUUUUUUCAUUGGUUAUCCAGCUCAUUCUAAAGGAUACAAAUUCUAUUAUCCUACAAGGGGAACAAGAAUAGUUGAAUCUCAAAAUGCAAAAUUUCUUGAAUUUGAUGUUGCAGAUAAGGAUUGCUCUCAGCAUAUUGCUCCUGAGCCAACUGAAAGUAUUGAAGCUGUCAGAAUUCCUCUUAGUAUUACCUCAAAAUCAUUAGUAUCUGCACCUAUACAUGAUGAACCUCAUAUACAUGUGCAAACUGAUGACUUUGUACCUGCAGAAAUUAGGUGCCUAUUAUUGAAAAAGUGGUUCAGGCACCUGCUGUUGUUGAUCAAGAGGUUCAGAAUUUAAGGAGAUCAAGUAGACCAAGACGAUCGUGCGCUAUUGGAUGAUUAUUUAGUAUACCUAGAUGAAGGUGACAUUGUUGAUCCUGUAACCUUUUCGGAAGCUUCAUCGUGUGCUCAAUCAAAGAUGUGGCUUGAUGCUAUGUCUGAAGAGAUAAAAUCCAUGAGUAAAAAUAAUGUGUGGGAGCUUUCAAAGCUUCCUAAAGUCUAAAAGGUUGUUGGAUGUAAAUGGAUUUUUAUGACCAAGAAGGAUUCAAUGGAAAUAUUGAACGAUUCAAGGCGAGAUUACAAUGAAACUUUUUCACCAGUGUCAUCUAAGGAUUCUUUUAGGAUCAUUAUGGCAUUAGUAACCCAUUUUUAUCUUGAGCUACAUCAAAUGGAUGUAAAGACAACCUUUUUGAAUGGUGAUCCUAAUGAAGAGAUUUACAUGCAACAACCCCAAGGUUUUGUUGGUAAAGGCAGCGAGCAUCUUGUGUGUAAAUUGAAGAAAUAUAUUUAUGGCUUGAAGCAAGCUUCUCGAUAGUAGUACUUGAAGUUUGAGGAAAUUAUGAAUUCUAUGGGGUUUGUGGAGAACAAUAUUGAUCAUUGCUUCUAUCUCAAGAUUAGUGGGAGUAAUUUCAUCAUUCUCACUCUUUACGUUGAUAAUAUUUUACUUGCUAGUAAUAAUUCAGGACUGUUGCACGAAAUUAAACAUUCAUUAAAUAAAAUUUUUGAUAUGAUAUAUCUAGGAGAGGCAUCAUUUGUUCCGGGCAUUGAGAUUCGACGAGAUAGAUCUCGUAAGUUAUUGGGGUUUUCACAAAAGGCCUAUAUUGAUCGUAUUUUGAAAAGAUCUCAAAUGAAAAAUUGUAAGCCUGGUGAUGUCCCUGUGGUGAAAGGUGAUAAGUUAAGCCUAGACUUGUGUCCCAAAAAUGAUCUUAAGAAAGAUUCUAUGAAAUAUGUGCCUUAUCGAAGUGUUGUUGAAAGUCUUAUGUAUGCACAAGUUUGCACUCGUCCUGACAUUGCUUUCAUUGUCAAUGCUCUUGGAUGUUAUCAAACUAAUCCAGGAAGAAGUCAUUGGGUAGCUACUAAGAAAGUAAUGAGGUGCUUGAAGAAGACAAGAGAUUAUAUAUUAGUGGACAAAAACGUUGACGACCUUGAGGUAAUUGGUUACAUAGACUCAGACUUUGCUAGGUGUCCUGAUGAUUUGAGGUCCACAUCUGGCUUUAUCUUUAUGUUUCCAGGGGGUGCGAUAUCUUGGAAGAGUGUGAAGUGAACUCUUAUAGCAUCUUCCACUAUGCAAGCAGAAUUCGUAGCUUGUUAUGGUGCAGCUACACAAGCCAUUUGGUUUAAGAAUUUUAUUUCAGGGCUUGUGGUAGUUGAUUCCAUCUCUAGCCCCUUGAAGAUUUAUCGUGACAAUAAGGCAGCUGUGUUUUACUCAAAAAAUAAUAAAUCUUCUUCAGUUUCUAAGCAUAUGAAAAUAAAAUCUCUGACUGUGAGAGAUAUGGUUAAAAGGGAGGACAUUGUGAUUGAACAUACACCUACCGAUUUGAUGUUUGUUGCUCCACUAAUCAAGGUGCUAAGACCUAUAGUUUUUACACAACAUAUUCAUAAUAUGGGUGUUGUUGAGUCAUUUGAUUUGUUGGGUUAGUGGGAGUAUUUAAUAUUGUUAUUCAUUUGUCAUUAGACUAUUCACCUUAUUGUUUCAUAUUUAUGGUGAUAUUAUCUCUUGAAUUUACAUUUAUGCUAUAGUAGAUUUUGCUAUCAUUUAUGUUGUUGAUUAUUAUUGUGUACACUUUAAUAUUGUUUUAUUAUAUUAAGGCUUUUUGCCUUACGUGUUAGCUAUAUCUCAUAUUGAUAAGAUGAUAUUGUUGUUUUAUUGAAUUUUUCUUUUGGAGACAUACGAUAUAUCAUUCUACCUAGUGAAUUUUUUGGUUGUUGCACCAUGUAAUAUGUUGCACAUGUUGAACCUUGAAAAUCAAGAUUUUCUGCUGGAGCACAUGUUGUUUUAGUGCUCACACAUGUUGUAACAAAAUCGCGGUGAUGAUUUUUCUAUGGUACGCAUGUUGAUUUUAAACGUACAUGUUAAUAUGAAAAAUCGUUUGAAGGACUAACAAUGAAAUAGCCUCGAUUUGGAGUCCAUGUUUGCUAUUUUUUGCUACACUACCACAUUAUUUGGUUUAUGUCUACAAAACUUCAGUGUUAGUAAUCGUGGACUGAUUUUGUAUCGUUGGUUGAUGCACGUACUGUUGCAGUUCAACAGUGAUGUUUUCCUUGACUGAACUAUGUUGGAGAUGGCGUUCCACCACUAAAUAUUUAUGGCCACUGUCUACUCAGUUUGAGAGUCAUUUUCAUAAAAAUAUUUUUUUCAAAACUUUUCUUUAAAAGUUAACGUUGUCAAGUGAAAGAAUGUUAGAAUUAUUUAUUUUAUAUGGACUUAACGUUAACUUUUUAUUACAUUAAAGUAAAACGAGAUGAUGAUAUUAAUUGGUGGACAAGACACAGGUCGUGUAUUCAUGUGGAUUCCAUAUCGGCCUGUAUCCAUUUCAUAUUAUUGGUAUGGGCUGACAAUAAUGUAGGCCUGUAGUAGACCUGUGAGCCCAUAAUGAGGGUGCACUAGGUUAAGGCUUUUAAGCCUAUAAAUAUAAGGCUAGGUCCCCUCUCCUGAUUUUAACAUAAGACGUAUUCCCAUAACUUAAGUUGCUACUAUCAUAAGCAAAGGAGAGGAAGACUCCGCCUAGUUCGUCUUCCAUUACAUGUAAGCAAUGACGAACAAAGGUACACACCUUUCCUCUCUCAUAUUCCGUUAUUUUGUGUUCUUGAUUUAUGUGAAUCUGUGAUGUGUUUCUCUAUUAAUUUCAACAUAAAAUGCUUCUCCAUAUUUUUUUUUUUUUAAGUGGCUAAAUUCCCUUUUUGUAAUUACUUGGAUCAUGUGUUAUCGAUUCAUUGAUUAUUUUUACUAAAGUUCAUUAUUUAAAAAUUAUUUUGGCACAAAUGACAAAUGACAUCAUUUUAUUCAAUGUUUUACACAUCAUUCGCGAGUGUGACUCACACAUGUGAUAUAUUUUGUAUUGAUUAUGUAAAAAGUGCCAAAAUUAAGUAGUAAAACAACAGUUAAGAUGUUUAAAAUGAACCAUAUAUAGUUGAAGUGCACAAAUAAAAAUUGAUGAUGACUUCAAGGAGGUGGGGAUGUGUUUGGCCACAAUAGGAACUUUCUAUCUCUCUUAAGUUAUAUAUUUCCAUUGUCACUUCAAUUGAAUCCAAUAUUUCUAGGCUCAAAUGAAAUAUUGAUUCUAUUUUGUUGACAAUGUUCUGAAAACAUUCAGAAUAUUAUACUCACUCGGUGUUUAUAUCAAAAUAAAUAAUUUAACUUCAGAAAUUAAAAAAUGAAAUGACAAUACAUAUUUUUCAGUAAGAAAUUUUUUGAUUGCAAUCACAAGAAAACAAAUGAAAACAACAAAAGCUUAGUUUAUGAGCAACAAUGAAUGUCAAUUUGUCUUUAUUUUUUUUAGAACUUAUUUCUCAUCACAACUUAUCUCUGCCUUCUUGUGAGGGGCAAGGCCUGCUGUUUAAAUUGUCUUGUUCUUAGAUAUUUCUUUAAGGCAUCUGAUACUGACAAUUUUUGUCUUGGUUUGAGACAACAUAAAAAAUAUCUAUGCACUUUGUCAUUUUCUUUAUUUUGAUGUUUCACCUACCUCAUAGAUCUAAAGGAGAUGUUCAAAAACAAGAACAAUGAGCUAAGUGGACUCAGGGGGCAGACCUAUGUGUAAUUUUGUAGUGUCCCAGCAUCCGUUGAACACGACGUAAACAAGAUAUAAUUAUAUAAGAAAUGUAAUAAAGAUUGAUAUAAGAUUUAAAAAAUGAAGGUUGAGUGCUUGGUUUCCAGGCGGAAUCCUAAAACCUUGGGCAUCAAUAUGCGUGUUUGAACCACCCGGACACCCACGACCCCUAGAUCCUGAAUCUACCGUUGAUGUGGUUUCAUGAUACCUAACUCAUCAAUGUAUGAAAAUCGAUGGGCUUUACAUUUUCUUUAACUAAUCAGUAUAUAAGGACCUAAAAAUAGUUGAGUCAUAUAAGCAUUUCACAUUACAUUCUUCUACACUUUUUCUACCCCUUUCAUAAUAGUACCAAGCCAAAAGGUACCUACAAAGAUGGAAGUUAAGAACAAGUAUGUAGCAAUAAAAGCCAACAUCAAUGGUGCACCAGAAGAGUCAGACUUCGAGAUAAAAGUCAAAAACCUCUCACAUAUAGUUGAGCCAGAGUCUAAGGAGGUUGUCAUCAAGAACCUGUUAGUAUCGAUUGAUCCUUAUCAGAUAAACCGGAUGAAGAGCCAAAGUUCAUCACAAACAUCGAUAAGUUAUGCAACUGCCAUUACUCCUGGCGAGGUCAUUGACACUUAUGGUGUAGGAAGAGUGUUGGUUUCUCAUCGGCCCGACUUCAAGAAAGGUGACUUGGUAUCUGGGCUGCUUACCUGGGGAGAGUACACUGUUGUAAAGGAAGGUUCCCUGUUGAAUAAGUUGGACCCUUCUCUGGCAUUUCCUUUGUCUUACCAUGUCGGAGUUUUUGGAUUCAGUGGACUUGCUGCCUAUGGUGGAUUCUUCGAAGUGUGUAAACCGAAGCCAGGGGAGAAAGUUUUCGUGUCUGCUGCUUCUGGUUCAAUAGGACAUUUAGUAGGACAGUAUGCUAAAUUACUAGGAUGUUAUGUUGUUGGCUCUGCUGGUAGCCAAGAAAAGGUAAAUUUUCUUAAGGAGACACUUGGAUUCGACGAUGCAUUCAAUUAUAAACAAGAAACUGACCUCAAAUCGGCUCUCAAAAGGUGUUUCACUCAAGGGAUCGAUGUCUACUUUGACAAUGUGGGAGGCAAGAUGCUAGAAGCAGCAGUGGCAAACAUGAAUUCAUUCGGCAGAGUAGCCAUCUGUGGGGUUAUUUCUGAGUACACGAAUGCUAGCACACGAGCUGCCCCAGAUAUGAAGGAUAUAGUCUACAAGAGGAUUAGAAUCCAAGGAUUCCUAGCAGCUGAUUUCAUGCCAGUGUAUGCAGAUUUCCUGUCGAAAACAGUUGAGUACCUCCAAGAUGGAAAACUUAAGACCAUCGAAGAUAUCUCACAAGGCGUUGAAAGCAUCCCCUCUGCUUUUAUUGGACUGUUCAAUGGUGAUAAUAUAGGCAAAAAGAUUGUCAAAGUUGCAGAUGAGCGAUAAAAAGAACAAGAAGAUUCAAGACUGUUGACCUAUUUGUUCAUGAAUUCACGAACAAUAUCUUAUCUGUACUUCUUUCAAGUUGUAAUCCAUUUAAACGUUCAUCUUCUGCAUCAAGUUAACGAACAAGUUUAUGUAUUAUGCCUAUCAGAUUCUUGUUUACUUUUCCUUUUCAUGUACCCUAGAUUGAAACAAACUCUGUGACCCUAUCGUCUACCAACUAUGUCUCAAUCCCAAAUUUAGUUGACUACAUGAAUCUUUUACAUCAACUCAACAAAGUGGAAAAAUACAUCUUUAGCAACUACUUCAAGACCACCAUAAGAUAAAGCAAUAUCCGGGUCCUCAUCAACAUACAGACCAACUAUUAUGCCAAAACGAAUCCCGGUACUGAAAUAGCAGCAAAGUAAAGUGACAAUGGAUGUACAUAAGUUAGUUUCAAUAGAAUGACACGAUAGAAAACACUAAUGUACUAGUAUCACAGUAGAAACAAAAUUUGAGAGGAAUGGAUCAGGAAGGGGAUGAAUGUAAUACCAAGUGUUACAUUAACAGCAUUAAUAUUGAACCUGCAGUCUUCCUUCCAUUCAAACAGACUGUCAACAGCCUCUGCCAAUGCAGAACGAACAACUAGCUUCUUGUGUUUUCAAGAAAUUAUGGACCUACAGGAAGACACACACAUAUUAGUGAAUGCUUCAGCGUAAAGCUAUUCAUCAUUGAGCGGGAGCGGUUAAAAGACAGCAUAAAGAUGCAUAACCGCAGUUCCUCUGGAGAGCAAAGAACGUGCCAAAACUUGCACUCAUCAACUAGCAGCACUUUUUCUUUCUGAACUAGUUGCAAUAUCAAGGAAAAAGAAUUCCAUGAUGUGGAACAAUUAUCAUCAUAAGUAUCAUAUGACAGAUCAACAUCUUGUUCAGAUCAAUCUACAUACAACACAUAUUCAAGGAAGGAGAAGCUUGUUCACCGUUUUGUUACGAUGAACUUGAAUUUUAAGCUACCAACAAUGUGCGAUAAAAUUUAGCAGAAGUAGGUGAGUCUCGCUCUAUACAUGCACAUUGUAACAACAUAAGUACAUCAGAAAUGAACUGUAAAAACAGGGAAAGUUCGCGUUUCUUCAUUGCACUCCAUGUAUAGUUAGCAGGGAUGGAUAGUUGCUUGGUUGUUCCUAACACAGCGUUUUCACUUCCUCAAAGUUCAAUAAUAUAGAACAUUUAACAGAAAACCUCAUUGACAUCUCAUACAACAAGAAAAAGCAGUGUCGAUCUAGAAAGCAUCAGAUGAACAGCUAGCUCCGGCACAGUAAACAUUAACAUGUACUAAACACAAGUUGCUGUCCUUGUUUGAGCAAAAAAAAUAAAUAAAACAAGCUCAUUUCCCUUCAUUUGAAUAUGUUGUAGGUUCUUAAAUUCAUGCUGUAAGCAGUGAACAUGAACAUUGCAUGAAAGUUAACAAUUGUCCCCCGUAUAGUUUCCACAAAAUGUACAAUUAGAGAUAUCUUGGCUACGUUUCAUUUCCAUUUUCACCCAUAUUUCCUCAAUUUAGUGCCACACAGGAUGAAAAUCAACAAAUUGAAACACAACAAAAAGUAAAUCCAAAUGUGUCAAAUUCUUGAAAUAAAAUCCCUACAGGAUUUUCCUUGUUAAUACACGUGCGGCUACAUUGACUUCAGUCAGAUUGCACAAAAUCAUUCUAAUACAUUGACAUCAAACAAAAUAGACUUUCUGUCAACGCUAUCAGUUUCUUACUUGGUGAUAUUUUAUAUGUGUUGAUUAUUGCCUCAGUUACUGCAGUAAAAGUAGGAGCAAUUGUUGGACAUUAUCCAGUUUUUUUAGCCAUGCUCUCUUUAACUUAGUUUAGUGGCUGAUUUUUAGAUGUUAGUGGUGCAGUUGUUUUGGAUAUUGCUGAUCAUGGAAUCAUGUACAAAGUAGUGGCUUAAUUAUAGGCUUUAGUUAUUGCAUUUUUUUAGUAUUUAAGCACCACUUCAAAUUUAAUGAAAAAUCAACCUUUGUGCAGUAAAUUAAUUUGUUGUCUUCUUUCUUUCUUUGUUUUCACUUCAAAGAGUUGAAGUUAACCUUACAACUCCAACAAAUUGGUAUCAAAGCUCUCUUCUUGAGGGACCUGCAUUUGAGGGAAAUAUAUCUUUCUCUUCUUAUUUUUUUCUCCUAUGGAUUCAGAGACUCCUUUCACUGUACUAGCACCACCUGUCUUCAAAAGUGAAGGCUAUCAUGUCUGGGAAGCAAGAAUGGAGGCACAUAUGGAGACAAACGAUUUGUGAGAAGCUGUUGAGGAGGACUACGAAGUUCCUCCCUUGCCUGAAAAUCCAAUCAUGGCGCAGAUGAGGAAUUACAAGGAAAAGAAAACAAGAAAAUCAAAGGCUAGAGCAACGUUAUUCGCUGCAGUCUUAUCUGAAAUCUUUGUCAGGAUUAUGACAUUGAAACCAGCUUUUGAGGUCUGGAAUUUCCUAAAUAAAAAAUAUGAAGGAGAUGAACGGAUCAAAAGUAUGCGUACUCUUAAUCUGAUCUGAGAAUUUGAACUUCAGAAGAUGAAGUAUUCAGAGACAAUCAAAGAGUAUUCUAAUAUGAUUACUUAACAUUGCCAACAAUGUAAGAUUACUCGGCUCUGCAUUUUCUGAUUCUAGAUUGUUUCAAAAAAUUCUAGUAACAGUCCCUGAAUGGUUUGAAACAACUAUUUUCGCACUAGUAAAUUCUAAGGAUUUGUCACAGAUUAGUUUGGCAGAACUACUGAAAGCUUCGCAGGCAUAAGAAUAUAGAAGACUUAUGAGGUCUGAAGGAUCUGUUGAGGGUGCACUACCUGCAAAAGUUCAAUCAAACCAGGGAGACCAAGGAAAGAAGAAGUGGAACAACAAGGAAAACUCAAGUUCUCAUUCUCCUGGGAUCCAUAGGGGAGCGAAACAUGAUUUCCCUCUUUGCAAGCAUUGUGAAAAGAAGGGUCAUCCACCGUUCAAAUGCUGGAGAAGGCCAGACCAACAGUGUGACAAAUGUCAGCAGAUGGGACAUCAUUAGAAGGUUUGCAAAAACAACACUCAACAAACUAAUGCUGCACAGGUAGCUAAUCAGGAAGAUGAAGAGCAACUCUUUGUAGUGACAUGUUUGGCAACUAGCUGCUCUAGUGACAAGUGGCUUACCGACAGUGGUUGCACAAACCACAUGACAUUUGAUCGUGAUCUCUUCAAGGAGUUGGAUACUUUAGUAAUUUCCAAAGUACAAGUUGGUAAUGGAGACUAUUUCUGCCGAAGGCAAAGGUACUGUGGAAAUGAAAUGCUCCUCAAAUACAAAACUAAUCAAAGAUGUGUUUUUUGUACCUAAAAUUAGUCAUAGUCUGUUAAGUGUUGGCCAGAUGCUUGAGAAUGGUUUCAAACUUCUCUUUGAAUCCAAUUACUGUCAAAUUAAGGAUGAAGAUGGCAAAAACUUAUUCAAGGUAAUGAUGAAGGGAAGGAGCUUUAUAUUGGAUCUUUUAGAUCAUGAGCAAAAAGCUCAUUCUGCAACUAAGAUCAAUGCACAAUUUUCGCACAAAAGACUCGGACAUUUCAAACAUGCUGCUGUAAUUAACUCACAAAAGAAAGAUCUGGUUCGAGGGUUGCCUAAUGUUGAAGCCGAAAUACCAGAUUGCAGAACUUGUCAAUUUGGCAAGCAAGCAAGACUUCCUUUCAAGAAAGCAAUCUGGAGAGCUACUGAAAAGCUAAAAUUAAUCCACACUGAUCUGACUGAUCCUCACCGAACUCCGUCACUCAAAGGGAGCGCUUUCCCCCGAAUGGGGCCCUACGCUAGGGGUGGGCAUAUUUUGGUUUAAACCAAAAAAAACGAAAAACCAAACCGAAAUUUAAUUUUGGUUUCGGUUUUUUGGAUCGGAUUUGGUUUGUAAUUUUAGAAUUUCGAUUUUUCGAUUCGAUUUUUGGUUUUAAAAAAAAAAUCGGUUUAAACCGAAAAACUGAAAUUUUAUAAAAAAAUAAAUAAUAUAUAUAUAUUUUAUUAUAUAUAUAUAAUAUUUAGUAAUUCACAUUCACAAUUAACAUUUAACAGCAAAUUCGCAUACGCCGUAGGCUGUUUAUGGAUUGUUUUAGUGACUCAAAUAUUUUAUGGACUAUUUUGGUGACUUUAGACUGUUUUAUGGACUAUUUAUGCAGAAAAUAUGUUGUUUCAUGGACUAUUUUUACGAGUUUUGUGUUGUUUUGUAGACUAUUUAUGCAAGGUUAUAUUAUAUGUAAUGAUUGAUGACGUUAUGUAUUAUCUUAAGCUUAUGAUUAUUUCAUUCCGUUUCAUCCAUUUUGAGUUAUUUAUAAUUAUUUAUAUUUAGGAAUGAAAAACAGGUUUGAAAAAAAUAAUUUUUCUAAAAAAAUUCAUCAAUUUUAAAUGCUCAGUUAUGAAAAAGAGAGGCUAACUACUUUAAUAUUUCAAACCGAAAUAAAAAUCCGAAAUAACCGAACCGAAUUUGUAAAAACCAAACCAAAUCGAAUUUAUUACGGUUUGGUUAUGGAUGUCAUUUUUGUCACUCCGAAAAUCGAUAAACCGAACCGAUAUUAAACAAUCAGACCGAACCGAUCGAACGCCCACCCCUACCCUACGCAGGGCGAAUCCAAAUUAGUCGGACUCCAAUGCGGGUACCGGAAACCGGAUGGGGAAAAAAUACUGCAAGACGGAUCUUUAACUGGCAGAUAUGUUUACCAAAGCCUUGCCAAAGAGCAAAUUUAAAUUUCUCAGAGAAAGACUUAGAAUUUGCAGCAACUGAAGCAAGGAGGAGUGUUGAUUAUUGCCUCAGUUACUACAAUAACAGUAGGAGCAAUUGUUGGACAUUAUCCAGCUUUAUGAGCCAUGUUCUCUUAACUUGUUUAGUGGCUGAUUUUUAGAUGUUAGUGGUGUAGUUGUUUUGGAUAUUGCUAAUAAUGGAAUCAUGUACAAAGUAGUGGCUUAAUUAUAGGCUUUAGUUAUUGCAUUUUUUUAGUAUUUAAGCACCACUUCACAUUAAUGAAAAAUCAACCUUUGCGCGGUAAAUUAAUUUGUUCUCUUCUUUCUUUCUUUCUUUGUUUUCACUUCAACGAGUUGAAGUUAACCUUACAACAAUAAUAUGGACGGUGAAUAAUACUGAGAGUCAGACAAGUACGAUUAACAACAACAAUAAAUAGAAAGAAAGUUUAACAUUAUAUGAAUGUAACCUGUAGUGUGUGUGUGUGUGUAUAUAUAUAUAUAUAUAUAUAUAUAUAUACAAAGGUUACUGAAUUACGUUAACCCGUAAGUGGGCUACAAGAUAAUCUGUUUAAAUUGUCUUGUUCUUAGCCAUUUCUAUACACAUUGAUGCUUACGACAGUGACAACCUUGCUGCUAAUGACAAUAUUGUCUUGGUUGAGACAGCAUAAAACAUAUCUAUGCAUCUGUAAUUUUCAUUAUUUUGAUGUUUCACCUACCUCAUAAAUCUAGAGGAAAUGUUCAAAAACAAGAACAGUGAGCUAAGUGGUCUAAGGGGCUGCAAUUUUGCAGUGCCCCAGCAUCCAUUAAUACGAUGCAAACUGGGUAUAAUAAUAUAAGAAAUGUAUAAAAAUUGGUAUAGGAUUUAAAAGAGAAUGCUGGAAACCAAGAUGAUAGUUGAGUGAUUUGGUUUAUUGGCGGAACCUUAAGGCCUUGGGCAUCAAUAUGUGUGUUUGAACCCGACACUCACGAUCACUAAAUCCUGAAUCUGCCACUGAUGUGGUCUCAUGAUACCUAACUAAUCACUAUAUGAAACAUCUAUGGCCUUUACAUUUUCUUUAAUUUGAUGUUGCAGCCUGCCACAUUAAUCUAAUGGACCUUUUCUAAUUAAAAACAGUGAGCUAACUGGUCCAAUAAUGCCUAACUAAUCAGUACAUAAGGACCUAAAGAUAGUUGAGCCAUAUAAGCAUUUCACAUUACAUUCUUCUGCACUUUUUUCUUCCCCUUUCAUAAUAGUACCAAGCCAAAAGGUACCUACAAAGAUGGAAGUUAAGAACAAGUAUGUAGCAAUAAAAGCCAACAUAAAUGGUGCACCAGAAGAGUCAGACUUCGAGAUAAAAGUCGAAAACCUCUCACUUAUGGUUGAGCCAGAGUCUAAGGUGGUGGUUGUCAAGAACCUGUUUGUAUCGAUUUAGCCGUAUCAGAUAAACUGAAUGAAGAGCCAAAGUUCAUCACAAACAUCGAAGUUGUGCAACUACCAUUACUCCUGGAGAGGUCAUUGACACUUAUGGUGUAGGAAGAGUGUUGGUUUCUCAUCGGCCCGACUUCAAGAAAGAUGAUUUGGUAGCAGGCUUUCUUACCUGGGGAGAGUACACUAUAGUAAAGGAAGGUUCCCUGUUGAAUAAGUUGGAUCCUAGACUGGAGUUUCCUUUGUCUUACCAUGUCGGAGUUUUUGGAUUCAGUGGACUUGCUGCCUAUGGUGGAUUCUUCGAAGUGUGUAAGCCGAAGCCAGGGGAAAAAGUUUUCGUGUCUGCUGCUUCUAGUUCAAUAGGAC
RNAcentral lists this long non-coding RNA (40948 nucleotides) under Capsicum annuum. RNAcentral's name for it is "long non-coding RNA (CANN_LNC005713)". Lineage: Eukaryota; Viridiplantae; Streptophyta; Magnoliopsida; Solanales; Solanaceae. The record is from RNAcentral.